Molecule: ribosomal RNA, 391 nt
Filed under: uncultured organism
Description: bacterial SSU rRNA
Rfam family: Bacterial small subunit ribosomal RNA
Source: RNAcentral
CAGAGGGCGCGAGCGUUGUCCGGAAUCACUGGGCGUAAAGGGCGCGUAGGUGGCGGCGUAAGGCCGCGGUGAAAGUUCGGGGCUCAACCCUGAAUCGGCCGCGGCGACUGCGUCGCUUGGGCACUGUAGAGGCAGACGGAAUUCCGGGUGUAGCGGUGGAAUGCGUAGAGAUCCGGAAGAACACCGGUGGCGAAGGCGGUCUGCUGGGCAGUGAGCUCGCAAGAGCUCAAUAGCCGACACUGAGGCGCGACAGCGUGGGGAGCAAACAGGAUUAGAUACCCUGGUAGUCCACGCCGUAAACGAUGGGCACUAGGUGCCCCGGGGAGCGACCCUUGGAGUACCGGCGCUAACGCAUGAAGUGCCCCGCCUGGGGAGUACGGCCGCAAGGCUG